UACGGAGGGGGCUAGCGUUGUUCGGAAUUACUGGGCGUAAAGCGCACGUAGGCGGCUUUGCAAGUUAGAGGUGAAAGCCCGGGGCUCAACUCCGGAAUUGCCUUUAAAACUGCAUCGCUAGAAUUGUGGAGAGGUAAGUGGAAUUCCGAGUGUAGAGGUGAAAUUCGUAGAUAUUCGGAAGAACACCAGUGGCGAAGGCGGCCCGCUGGGCAGUGGCUGACGCUGAAGCGCGACAGCGUGGGGAGCAAACAGG
This 253-nucleotide ribosomal RNA is filed under the name uncultured bacterium. Its description in RNAcentral is "partial 16S ribosomal RNA". It matches the Rfam family "Bacterial small subunit ribosomal RNA", at positions 524 to 776 of the family's 1533-position model. The record is from RNAcentral.